This 509-nucleotide ribosomal RNA is filed under the name uncultured beta proteobacterium. RNAcentral describes it as "bacterial SSU rRNA". It matches the Rfam family "Bacterial small subunit ribosomal RNA", at positions 46 to 552 of the family's 1533-position model. Lineage: Bacteria; Pseudomonadati; Pseudomonadota; Betaproteobacteria. The record is from RNAcentral.
GCCUUACACAUGCAAGUCGAACGGUAACGCGGGGCAACCUGGCGACGAGUGGCGAACGGGUGAGUAAUGCAUCGGAACGUGCCCAAUCGUGGGGGAUAACGUAGAGAAAUUUACGCUAAUACCGCAUGAGAUCUAUGGAUGAAAGCAGGGGAUCGCAAGACCUUGCGCGAUUGGAGCGGCUGAUGUCAGAUUAGGUAGUUGGUGGGGUAAAAGCCUACCAAGCCGACGAUCUGUAGCUGGUUUGAGAGAACGACCAGUCACACUGGGACUGAGACACGGCCCAGACUCCUACGGGAGGCAGCAGUGGGGAAUUUUGGACAAUGGGCGCAAGCCUGAUCCAGCAAUGCCGCGUGCAGGAAGAAGGCCUUCGGGUUGUAAACUGCUUUUGUACGGAACGAAACGGCUCUGGUUAAUACCCGGGGCUAAUGACGGUACCGUAAGAAUAAGCACCGGCUAACUACGUGCCAGCAGCCGCGGUAAUACGUAGGGUGCGAGCGUUAAUCGGAAUU